Molecule: ribosomal RNA, 1343 nt
Filed under: uncultured bacterium
Lineage: Bacteria
Description: 16S ribosomal RNA
Rfam family: Bacterial small subunit ribosomal RNA
Source: RNAcentral
GACGAACGCUGGCGGCGUGCUUAACACAUGCAAGUCGAACGGAAAGGCCCUGCUUUUGUGGGGUGCUCGAGUGGCGAACGGGUGAGUAACACGUGAGUAACCUGCCCUUGACUUUGGGAUAACUUCAGGAAACUGGGGCUAAUACCGGAUAGGAGCUCCUGCUGCAUGGUGGGGGUUGGAAAGUUUCGGCGGUUGGGGAUGGACUCGCGGCUUAUCAGCUCGUUGGUGGGGUAGUGGCUUACCAAGGCUUUGACGGGUAGCCGGCCUGAGAGGGUGACCGGCCACAUUGGGACUGAGAUACGGCCCAGACUCCUACGGGAGGCAGCAGUGGGGAAUAUUGCACAAUGGGCGGAAGCCUGAUGCAGCAACGCCGCGUGCGGGAUGACGGCCUUCGGGUUGUAAACCGCUUUCGCCUGUGACGAAGCGUGAGUGACGGUAAUGGGUAAAGAAGCACCGGCUAACUACGUGCCAGCAGCCGCGGUGAUACGUAGGGUGCGAGCGUUGUCCGGAUUUAUUGGGCGUAAAGGGCUCGUAGGUGGUUGAUCGCGUCGGAAGUGUAAUCUUGGGGCUUAACCCUGAGCGUGCUUUCGAUACGGGUUGACUUGAGGAAGGUAGGGGAGAAUGGAAUUCCUGGUGGAGCGGUGGAAUGCGCAGAUAUCAGGAGGAACACCAGUGGCGAAGGCGGUUCUCUGGGCCUUUCCUGACGCUGAGGAGCGAAAGCGUGGGGAGCGAACAGGCUUAGAUACCCUGGUAGUCCACGCUGUAAACGGUGGGUACUAGGUGUGGGGUCCAUUCCACGGGUUCCGUGCCGUAGCUAACGCUUUAAGUACCCCGCCUGGGGAGUACGGCCGCAAGGCUAAAACUCAAAGGAAUUGACGGGGCCCCGCACAAGCGGCGGAGCAUGCGGAUUAAUUCGAUGCAACGCGUAGAACCUUACCUGGGUUUGACAUGGAUCGGGAGUGCUCAGAGAUGGGUGUGCCUCUUUUGGGGUCGGUUCACAGGUGGUGCAUGGCUGUCGUCAGCUCGUGUCGUGAGAUGUUGGGUUAAGUCCCGCAACGAGCGCAACCCUUGUUCACUGUUGCCAGCACGUUAUGGUGGGGACUCAGUGGAGACCGCCGGGGUCAACUCGGAGGAAGGUGGGGAUGACGUCAAGUCAUCAUGCCCCUUAUGUCCAGGGCUUCACGCAUGCUACAAUGGCUGGUACAGAGAGUGGCGAGCCUGUGAGGGUGAGCGAAUCUCGGAAAGCCGGUCUCAGUUCGGAUUGGGGUCUGCAACUCGACCUCAUGAAGUCGGAGUCGCUAGUAAUCGCAAAUCAGCAACGCUGCGGUGAAUACGUUCCCGGG